CAGGUGAGUUUUAUACAUACAGAGUAGCAUUCUGUUUGUGAGAUGUGGCGUAAGUGAUGUUAUGGGUAUAGGCCUAUGAAAUGCUUUGAUUAAGCUCCAUUAUGUGUCUUUCAUAUUUGAUGGAAAACCAUAUCUAUUAAGGCAUUAGGGAAGACAGGUCAGAUGUUAGGUACGGACUAGGGAGGGUACAGGUAGAGGAAGACAGGUCAGAUGUUAGGUACGGACUAGGGAGGGUACAGGAAGACAGGUCAGAUGUUAGGUACGGACUAGGGAGGGUACGGGUAGAGGAAGACAGGUCAGAUGUUAGGUUCGGACUAGGGAGGGUACAGGUAGAGGAAGACAGGUCAGAUGUUAGGUACGGACUAGGGAGGGUACAGGAAGACAGGUCAGAUGUUAGGUACGGACUAGGGAGGGUACAGGUAGAGGAAGACAGGUCAGAUGUUAGGUACGGACUAGGGAGGGUACAGGAAGACAGGUCAGAUGUUAGGUACGGUCUAGGGAGG
Molecule: long non-coding RNA, 503 nt
Organism: Oncorhynchus tshawytscha (Chinook salmon)
Lineage: Eukaryota; Metazoa; Chordata; Actinopteri; Salmoniformes; Salmonidae
Source: Ensembl